RNAcentral lists this ribosomal RNA (245 nucleotides) under uncultured bacterium. Its description in RNAcentral is "partial 16S ribosomal RNA". It matches the Rfam family "Bacterial small subunit ribosomal RNA", at positions 524 to 768 of the family's 1533-position model. The record is from RNAcentral.
UACGGAGGGUGCAAACGUUGCUCGGAAUCAUUGGGCGUAAAGCGCACGUAGGCGACCGAUUAAGUCGGGUGUGAAAGCCCCGGGCUCAACCCGGGAAGUGCACUCGAAACUGACCGGCUUGAAUAUGGAAGAGGGUCGCGGAAUUCCCGGUGUAGAGGUGAAAUUCGUAGAUAUCGGGAGGAACACCAGUGGCGAAGGCGGCGACCUGGGCCAAUAUUGACGCUGAGGUGCGAAAGCGUGGUGAG